UCACUUGCACAGUAGCAUGUUUUUGAUUAGAUGACCAACUCGUACGAAGAUGGUUGGGGUACACACUAUUGAUCGUGGGGGGGGGGCAUCAUUUCGGCUGUAGCCUAGUCUAUAUUGAGGUUAGCACGGGUGGGGUAGGCUACACAGUGACAGCGCACACACUCAUAGAUGUGGGUGGUUUAUUAGGCGCAAAUUAGGAAGGAGCAGGACUCGAGAAAAUCUCGGUUGCAAUUCCAUUAGGACAAAUUACUUCAUUGCUCUCGAGAAUAAACGGAGUAUACCACGCGCGAACCCAUUCUGGCUCCCGCUCCCUGGACAACCUCCUUUCCAGACUCGCGCCAUCCGUCCUCUUCGAAUACCUGCACAGCAGCCCGUUACCGUUCGUUCGGAUGGAUCCCGCUGUUCUCAUCUUCCUGCUGUAUAUGAUGAUCGCUCAUGAGCUGGUCUGCGGCUGGUUGCAGUACCGGAGGCAAGCUGCCAAGCCCCGCAAACGAGUCGGGCCGAUGUGGAGUACCAGUGCCCGAGUUUGCCCGAGCAGCUGGCGGGUCAGUAGCCAGCCUUGCAGGACAGAGAGAGGACGAGACUGGAGGAGGGCUGCUGGGAAAAGUGGGCGACGAAUUGUCAGAAAGGCCUGAGCUGGAGAGAGCAUCUGUUGAGCAGAACUUCAGACAAUUCCACAACCCCAGAGUGGAUUGUUGGACUGAAAGACCUCUUCUUGUCUUGAACUUGGAACUUUGACAGGUUUGAAGAGCUUGAUCUGCUGCAGCAUCUCUUUGCUGUGAUUGAGCAGCACAUUGCCCAUGGGGAUUUGGUCAACACAGCUACGAGUCUAAACUCCGGAGAGCAGUACAAUAUGAGGAAAUGUCUGUGGAUGUGUGGGAAUUUUGCCUAUUUAUUUGUUAAUCUAUAUGGUCAUAGUCCUAUGUUAUCAUGUUAUUUGGUGAUGUUUGUAUUCCAAAUCAGCUGUUAGCCUCCCUCCAGGAUCUGUCUUUUAGACCACACUUCCAAAAGAAUGCUAUAUAUUCCAUCAGAUCCAUCCUGGAAUUUUAAUUGUCCUUUUCAUUUAGACACUUAAUUCUUUCUCAAAGAGAAAAAUACACGUUUGUCAUGUUUCCCACCGAUGUAGAGACCACCAGGUGUGUUUACUGUGGAUGUGGCUCUAAUAACGUUUGUAUUAACACACACUUCUGAAAUGAACCGUUGAAAGACUGUCUGUGAUGGAGCAGCCAGUAUACUGAACAAAAUAACAAUGCAACAUGCAACAAUUUCCGAGACUUUACUGAGUUGCUUUUUAUUUAAGGAAAUCAGCCUAUUGAAAUAAAUAAAUGAGGCCCUAGUCUAUAGAUUUGACUGGGAAUACAGAUAUGCAUAUUUUGGUCACAGAUACCUUUUUUUUUUUUUAAGGUAGGGGUGUGAAUCAGAAAACCAGUCAGUAUCUGGUGUGACCACCAUUUGCCUCAUGCAGCGUGACACAUCUCCUUCUCAUUGAGUUGAUGGUGGCUUGUGUUAUGUUGUCCCUCUCCUAUUCAAUGGCUGUGCGAAGUUGCUGGAUAUUGGUGGGAACAGGAACACGCUAUUGUACACGUCGAUCCAGAGCAUCCCAAACAUGCUCACAUGUCUGGUGAGUAUGCAGGCCAUAGAAGAACUGGGACAUUUUCAGCUUCCAGGAAUUGUGUACAGAUUCUUGUGACAUGGUGCCAUGCAUUAUCAUGCUGAAACAUGAGGUGAUGGCGGCAGAUGAAUGGCACAACAAUGGGCUUCAGGAUCUCGAUAUGGUAUCUCUGUGCAUUCAAAUUGCCAUCGAUAAAAUGCAAUUUGUUUUGUUUUCCACAGUUUAUCCCUGCCCAUACCAUAACCCCCUCACCAACAUGGGGCACUGUUCACAACAUUGACAUCAGCAAACCGCUCACCCACAUGAUGCCAUACACAUGGUCUGCGACUGAGGCCAAUUUGACUUACUGCCAAACUCUCUAAAAUGAUAUUGGAAGCCAUAUAUGGUAUAGAAAUGAACAUGACAUUUUCUGGCAAUAGCUCUGUUGGAAACUCAUGCAGUCAGCAUGCCAAUUGCGCUAUCCCUAAAAACUUGAGACAUCUGUGGCGUUGUGUUGUGUGACAAAACUGCACAUUUUAGAGUAGCCCAUUAUUGUCCACAGCACAAGGUGCACCUGUGUAAUGAUCAUGCUGUUUAAUUAGCUUCUUGAUAUGCCUCACCUGUCAGGUGGAUGGAUUAUCUUGCCAAAUGAGAAAUAUUCACUAGCAGGGAUUUAAAGACAUUUGUGCACAACAUUUGAAAGAAAUCCCCCAAAAAAUUGUGUAUGGAACAUUUCUGGGAUAUUUUAUUUCAGCUCAUGAAACACUUUACAUGUUGCGUUAAUAUUUUUGUUCAGUAUAUAUGAAAUAUGUUGUGUUAGCACAAUAUUGGACUGUUGUAUCGAAUACAAAAGAAUAAGAGACUUGAUCGGAGAGAAUGUUACAUGUCAAUUUUGGUAAUGGCCUGCAAAACAUAGCAUUCCCUUUGAAACAAUUAGAACUUUAUUUGCAUCUUUUUCUUAUAAAAUUGGAGGAAGGAUUCAGUGGCUUCAUACCUACUUUUCAAAAGAUGACUCAUCCAGUUUAGGCUUACAUAGCACCUCUCCCAACCUCAGUAUAUUAUCUGAUUAUACACGAGAGAGACACCCAAUCUCUCUCUCCUGUAGUCGCUGACUUUGUCAGCAGACGUUGAGCAUUGUGCCACAUCAGACUCAGAAAUACCCACCCCUUCUGUCCUGUGGCCAGUCCCCCAAUGUCAGAUCAGUAGUCCGUGUCAUUAGAAGACCGUGUCAGUCUCAGGAUAGCCAGCCUAGUGGAAAGUAGGUGCAUUUCAUAAGGAGUCGUCCUCCGUACUGGCCUGUAAAUGUGUGCUCUUGUGCACUGAGCUGCUUACAAUGCAUGGAUCACUAAACAGCGCUAGUCCUCUCUCAGCAGAUGGCCCGCCUGCGAUAGCACAGGUGGGUGCUCAUGUUUUAUUUUUCAUGGGAAGGAAGCAUUUGGCUGCCGCAGUCUUCCUGGUUCAAAGGUCCAUGCUUGUCGAAAUCUGGUUGUAUUUUUGUAAGAGGGUUUUGUGUUCAUUUAGGGGUUAACAUGUGUAGGAUGUCAACAAAUGAAACAGAAUUUGAAAUUGUUGUUGGUGUUUGCAUAUAGGAUCACAUUGUGAAUUUGAGUUGGUCGGUGCUUUUGCAUCUCUUCAGUUUUAUUUUUUUCACAAAUGUGGACCUGUGAAACACUAAAGGAUGUUGUCAACUCAAAGUUAAAUGUACAUCAUAAGACUUACAUAGUUGACAACUAGUCAAAGACUGAUGUAGAUUACGGAAACAAGUUUAAGGUGUUUUAAUGUUAAUUAAAAUGUUUGUGUAAUUAAUUAUACGGUAAGACAAUGAA
Oncorhynchus keta (chum salmon) is the source of this 3417-nucleotide long non-coding RNA. RefSeq lists it as uncharacterized. The record is from RefSeq and is a predicted model, not a curated record. Lineage: Eukaryota; Metazoa; Chordata; Actinopteri; Salmoniformes; Salmonidae. The transcript is spliced from 2 exons.